AGUGAACGCUGGCGGUAGGCCUAACACAUGCAAGUCGAACGGCAGCACAGUAAGAGCUUGCUCUUACGGGUGGCGAGUGGCGGACGGGUGAGGCAUACAUCGGAAUCUACUUUUUCGUGGGGGAUAACGUAGGGAAACUUACGCUAAUACCGCAUACGACCUACGGGUGAAAGCAGGGGCUCUUCGGACCUUGCGCGAUUGAAUGAGCCGAUGUCGGAUUAGCUAGUUGGCGGGGUAAAGGCCCACCAAGGCGACGAUCCGUAGCUGGUCUGAGAGGAUGAUCAGCCACACUGGAACUGAGACACGGUCCAGACUCCUACGGGAGGCAGCAGUGGGGAAUAUUGGACAAUGGGCGCAAGCCUGAUCCAGCCAUACCGCGUGAGUGAAGAAGGCCUUCGGGUUGUAAAGCCCUUUUGUUGGGAAAGAAAAGCAGCAGGUUAAAACCCCGCUGUUCUGACGGUACCCAAAGAAUAAGCACCGGCUAACUUCGUG
Molecule: ribosomal RNA, 492 nt
Filed under: uncultured bacterium
Lineage: Bacteria
Description: partial 16S ribosomal RNA
Rfam family: Bacterial small subunit ribosomal RNA
Source: RNAcentral